Molecule: small nucleolar RNA, 128 nt
Organism: Hippopotamus amphibius kiboko
Lineage: Eukaryota; Metazoa; Chordata; Mammalia; Artiodactyla; Hippopotamidae
Product: small nucleolar RNA SNORA40
Exons: 1
Source: RefSeq, a predicted model, not a curated record
AGCACUUGUAGUUUGUUUUUGUUUAAUCUGUGGGCAAAGACUUACAGACAGGUGCAAAAAUAAAUCCUCUUUUGCAACCCAGAACUCAUUGUUCAGUAUGAGUUUUGAUACAUAUAAGAAGGAACAUG